CAAUAGCGUAUAUUAAAGCUGUUGCGGUUAAAAAGCUCGUAGUUGGAUUUCUGUCAAGGACAACUGGUCCGCCCUCCGGGUGAGCACAUAGUUUGGUCUUGGCAUCUUGCUGGAAACUGUUGCUGCACUUGGUUGUGUGGCGCAGCAUCCAGCACUUUCACUUUGAGGAAAUUGGAGUGUUUCAAGCAGGCACAUGCCUUUGGACACAGUAGCAUGGAAUAAUUAGAUUGGGCUUUUGCUCCAAUUUGUCGGUUUCUGGAGCUGAGGUGAGAAUUAAUGGGGAUUGUUGAGGGCAUCCGAAUUUAGCCGUCAGAGGUGAAAUUCUUGGAUCUGCUAAAGACGGACAACUGCGAAAGCGUUUGCCCAGGAUGUUUUCAUUGA
This 381-nucleotide ribosomal RNA is filed under the name uncultured eukaryote. RNAcentral describes it as "partial 18S ribosomal RNA". It matches the Rfam family "Eukaryotic small subunit ribosomal RNA", at positions 592 to 976 of the family's 1831-position model. The record is from RNAcentral.